CUCUUAUUUUGUGUGACAAAAGCCCUCUCCCAGGUCUCUCCCACAUUCACAAAAGGUUUCCUCUCUUCUUUCUUACAUGGAAGGUGGUUUGGAUCAAAUCAAAGAGGAAUAAGUUUGGAUUUCGAAUUCUAUGAGAUAGAAUUUUAGAAAUCCAAAACUCUUUCAAUUUUGCACCAAAUUUAUCCAAUUUUUUUUUGAAAUUUUCAUAGAUUUUAGGGUAUACAUUGUGCACCCUUUGCUAGUAAUCCAUGCACAAAACUAAGGAGGAGGUGCUCAAGAGUUGGGCGCCCCUUAUCUUGCCAUGUUUGGAUAAGCCUUGACUAGGUAUUUGACCUAGACAAGGACUCUAUCAUAUCUCUCUGUAUAAAAUGAGUUUCUUUAUGAAAUUUUUGAAGAAGAUAGAGAUUUGAGAGACCUUUGGGCCAUCAAAAAUCAGAGAGAAAGACUUUUGGGUCGUGGAGAUAUAAUAGACACAAGAUAGGGUGUCUAGAGAGAGAAACGAGAAGAAGAAGAGGGUCUUCUUCUAGGGUUGUUUGUUUUCAUAUC
This 546-nucleotide long non-coding RNA is filed under the name Elaeis guineensis (African oil palm). Its description in RNAcentral is "long non-coding RNA (EGUI_LNC064498)". The record is from RNAcentral. Lineage: Eukaryota; Viridiplantae; Streptophyta; Magnoliopsida; Arecales; Arecaceae.